RNAcentral lists this transfer RNA (76 nucleotides) under Thiohalomonas denitrificans. RNAcentral describes it as "tRNA_Thr_CGT". It matches the Rfam family "tRNA". From Rfam's summary of the family: Transfer RNA (tRNA) molecules are approximately 80 nucleotides in length. Their secondary structure includes four short double-helical elements and three loops (D, anti-codon, and T loops). The record is from RNAcentral. Lineage: Bacteria; Pseudomonadati; Pseudomonadota; Gammaproteobacteria; Thiohalomonadales; Thiohalomonadaceae.
GCCGGAGUAGCUCAGUUGGUAGAGCAAUCGAUUCGUAAUCGAUAGGUCGUAGGUUCGACUCCUAUCUCCGGCACCA